Molecule: small nuclear RNA, 107 nt
Organism: Myotis lucifugus (little brown bat)
Lineage: Eukaryota; Metazoa; Chordata; Mammalia; Chiroptera; Vespertilionidae
Source: Ensembl
GUGCUCGCUUUGGCAGCACAUAUACUACAAUUGGAAUGAUACAGAGAAGAUUAGCAUGGCCCUUGCUCAAGGAUGACACGCAAGUUCGUGAAGCAUUCCAUAUUUAA